Molecule: long non-coding RNA, 409 nt
Organism: Polypterus senegalus (gray bichir)
Lineage: Eukaryota; Metazoa; Chordata; Cladistia; Polypteriformes; Polypteridae
Exons: 3
Source: RefSeq, a predicted model, not a curated record
UGCUGUGCUAACCAACAAGCGUACGACCUAAAUAAUGACCCAGGAAGUGAGAUACAGCCAUCCAAAUGAUAGCAGAGCUUUUCAGCAUGCAGUUCUGCCCAAGGCGGAUGAAAAGUGUUUCAUCAGCUUCAAAGCGAGGUACUCCUGCCAACCUAUUCAGGUUUCAGCACAAAUCUCCAGCUAUCUCACUGCCAUCUCAACAUGGUGCCAAGAAGCUGCCCAGGGAUGCCAUCUGACCCCACCCUUUCCAGUCCAACUACCAUAAAACCCCAGUCAUCCUAGAAGAAGGCAUCAUUACUGGGUAGAGAAAUGAAGCUCUUUUUGAAGCCACUACAAUCUGCUACUUGUUUUCUGAAUUUCCUCAUAUGUAACACAUGGCAAACAGCUUUAUUUCAUUUAUUUUGUUUUC